RNAcentral lists this long non-coding RNA (424 nucleotides) under Linum usitatissimum (flax). RNAcentral describes it as "long non-coding RNA (LUSI_LNC002392)". Lineage: Eukaryota; Viridiplantae; Streptophyta; Magnoliopsida; Malpighiales; Linaceae. The record is from RNAcentral.
GAGCGCUGAAAGGGCUAGUGAAGCUGCAAGCAUUGGUGAGGGGACACAACGUGAGGAAGCAAGCCAAGACCACAUUGCGAUGUAUGCAAGCUCUGGUUCGAGUCCAAGCUCGAAUCCUUGAUCAACGGAUGCGCCUUUCCCACGAUGGCUACACCCGCAAAUCCACAUUCAGUGACACCACCAGCCUCAUUGAGUCCCUCUACUUGCAAGACCUCUCCGACCGAAAAUCUAUGGUAUCUAUCUAACCUAAUUUUAGUGUAAGAAAAUUGUUCAAUAGAGAUGGAAACAUUACCUGUCAUUGAUCUCAUAUUGGGAUUUAUUUAACAGCAGUCUAGAGAAGGAUGCAGCAAUGCAGACGAUUGGGACGAAAGGCCACACUCGAUUGAGGAAGUCAAAGCUAUGUUGCAGCAAAGGAAAGAUCAUG